CCAACGCCCGAGGUAGACCUCCGCCGCCUCUCUGUUCCCCUCUCGCCAUUUCCCUUCUCCUGGCCACCCCAGACGACGGAGCACUAGCGGGAUCAUCCACGCUGGAGCAAUGGCGAGCUAGCCCAGCGUAGGGGCCAAGCGGGCCAAGGGCAGGGAUGGCCGGAGCUGCAACCGUCGUCCAACGCGGGCGAUGGUCAAUACCGGCGGGAGGAGCGGGGCACGAGCUGAUGGUCGCCUUCGCGAGGUGCUGCUGCAGGUCUGCAUUGGGAUCUACUGCCGGCGACCUCCUGGACCACCGCCGCGAGCUGCCGCUGCCGGUGACGAUCGCGACUUACUGCUGUGCCGGCCACCAUUCCGUGUCACAACAGGAUGCAUCUCCCGUUAUAAGAGCACCAAAAAUGGACACACUGAAGACCCCUCUUGCUACCGAACGUGCCACGCUUGAUGAUGUCUCUAUGUGGGAGUGGUCUGUUCAGCAUAUGAUGAAGGAGGUGAAGCAGCUGAAUGGUUAUCCGCCUAUUCGGGGAAGCCAACUUGCCUCGUGCGGUUUACCGGUGCACACUGUUAAUGAAGAAAAAGGAGAAUUUGGCACCGACCAACUAAAACUAUGCUGAAAUUUUGGCUCCGGUGAAAUGAUCCGUCCAAGCCACAGGAACAGAACAGAAGGUGUACUUUGGGAAAAAUUUA
Long non-coding RNA from Lolium rigidum, 687 nucleotides. RefSeq lists it as uncharacterized. The transcript is spliced from 4 exons. The record is from RefSeq and is a predicted model, not a curated record. NCBI's taxonomy places the organism in Eukaryota, Viridiplantae, Streptophyta, Magnoliopsida, Poales, Poaceae.